CCUACGGGAGGCAGCAGUGGGGAAUCUUGGACAAUGGGCGCAAGCCUGAUCCAGCCAUGCCGCGUGAGUGAUGAAGGCCUUAGGGUCGUAAAGCUCUUUCGCCAGGGAUGAUAAUGACAGUACCUGGUAAAGAAACCCCGGCUAACUCCGUGCCAGCAGCCGCGGUAAUACGGAGGGGGUUAGCGUUGUUCGGAAUUACUGGGCGUAAAGCGCGCGUAGGCGGACCGAAAAGUUGGGGGUGAAAUCCCGGGGCUCAACCCCGGAACUGCCUCCAAAACUGCCGGUCUAGAGUUCGAGAGAGGUGAGUGGAAUUCCGAGUGUAGAGGUGAAAUUCGUAGAUAUUCGGAGGAACACCAGUGGCGAAGGCGGCUCACUGGCUCGAUACUGACGCUGAGGUGCGAAAGUGUGGGGAGCAAACAGGAUUAGAUACCCUGGUAGUCCACACCGUAAACGAUGAAUGCCAGUCGUCGGGUAGCAUGCUAUUCGGUGACACACCUAACGGAUUAAGCAUUCCGCCUGGGGAGUACGGUCGCAAGAUUAAAACUCAAAGGAAUUGACGG
Molecule: ribosomal RNA, 560 nt
Filed under: uncultured bacterium
Lineage: Bacteria
Description: bacterial SSU rRNA
Rfam family: Bacterial small subunit ribosomal RNA
Source: RNAcentral